GGGUGGAGGAACAGGGUCUGACAAAGGGAUUUCAAAGUCUUGCUUUGAAAACAGCUUUAGAAUGCUCUAAGCCAAUUGCAAUUAAAGUUCUAAUGGAAAUCUCAUAGGGUAGUGAGUUCAGGAGGUUUUCUAACUAGAAUAAACACAGCCACUAAUUAGUGAUCUUGGAUAAGUCACAUACACACACAGGUAUAACUGGUGGCUAUUUUGUCACGAUGCACUUCUCUACCUGACUCUCCAAAGCCUACUGUCAUAGCUGUGUGCUCUGCUGAGUCCACUACUCUGUGCUGCCUACUAGCAAACAGCAACCUGGCUUUUCAGAUAGCAUAGUUCAGAGUACCCACACAUCUUGCCACCAUGCAUGGGUGCCCCACCUUGCUUGACCUUCUCCUAGGGUCCCUUUAAGGCAUUCAGAAACAGGAACAUAGUUGUCCAGAGCUAAUCAUGAAGAUGGCUGUAUGGCUGUAACUGAGAGCUGUGGCGGGGGGCGAUGAGUGGGCUCUGUGCUCAGAAGCCUGUGUAGCAGAUCUGUUGUUCAAGGCCAGAAAGGGCCAGGGAGAAAGGCCAGGCAGGAGGCCGAGAAGAAGGAAGUGAUUCCAGAAAGGUAUCACCAUUCCUCAGUUACGAAACCCAAGUGAGACCACAAUAUCCUGACUUCCAGCCUAGAGCUAUCUGUAAUGCGAUAAAUCUCUUCACAGGAGCAUAUACAUUGGGAACGGGAACUCUCACAGGAGAUUCUCUCCCUUGUUGAUUGGAAAAAGCCAGCUGCCAUGUUGUGAGUAUCCCAUUUAAAAGGGCUAUAUGGCAAGGAACUGAGGGCAGCCUUCAGCUGACAGCCAGCAAGAAACCAAGAUCCUCAGUCUGGUAGCUUGCAAGGCACUGAAUUCUGCCAACAACUGCGUGAGCUUGGAAGUGGAUCCUUCCUCAGUUAAGCCUUGGACAAGACCCAAGCCCUGUUGGACGCUUUAAUUACAGCCUUGCAGAGAACCCAGCUAAGGCAUGUUCAGACCUGAUCCACAGAAACUGUGAGAUAAUCAAUGUGUGUUGUUUUAAGCCUCUAAGUGUGUGGUAAUUUGUUACACAGCACUGGUUAGCUAACACAGAUACCUAGACAGCUGGUAAAGCAUUAUUUCUGGAUGUGUCUGUGAGGGUGUUUCUGGAGGAGAUUGGCAUGUGAGUCAGUGAACUCUCUGGGCAAGAGCUGCCCUCAAGGUAGGUGGGCACCAUCCAAUGUUGUUUUGUUGUAUCUAGGGGCCCAGAUACAACAAAAAGGCAGAGGAAAGGUGAAUUCACUCUCUCUCUCCUGAAGCUGGGGUACUUUUAUCUCUUGCCCUUGGACAUCAGAACUCCAGGUUCUCGGGCCUUUGGACUCUGGGACUUGCACCAGCUCCCGGCUUCUCAGGACUUCAGCCUCAGAUUGAGAGUCACACCAUUAACUUGCCUGGUUUAAAAGCCUUUAUACUUGGACUGAGAAACACCAACAGCUUCCCUGGGCUUCCAACUUGCAGAUGACCUAUCACAGGACUUCUCAGCCUCCAUAAUUGCAAUGGCCAAUUCUCCUAAUGAGUCCCCUUUCACAUAUCUAUUUAUCUACAUACAUAUAUCCUACUGGUUCUGUCUUUCUCAGGAACCCUGACCAAUACAGUAUGUAUCUCUAAAAGAUAAGGACAUCAAAAAAUAUUACCACGUCUAAAAAUAAAGUGAUUUCUUAACUUCAUGAAAUAUCGAAUUGCUCUCCAAAUUUUCACAAUUACAAAAGUCCACAUGUUGCAUUUAAUUUUAAUGUCUCUUAAUUCUCCCUUGAUUUUGAGAUUGCCUUUUAAGUAAGGCAGUUUAGCUACCUAGUUUCACUCUAGCCCAUCCAAGGUGUUUCCAAAAACCUCACCUUCACACUAACCACAACCAUUAUAAGCUGCUUCUUAAACGAUGAGAGCUCUCACUCUCUAAAAGGAAUUCUAAGCAUACCUCUUAAAGUAAUACCCUAUUAUAUCUCUACUAAGUUUAUAAUCAUAAAGAAUGUGGAUAUUUGCAUUCUCAUUUUACGGAUGGGAAAAUUAGUGUAGGUAACACAUAUGGAGAAGUGAUAAAUAGCAAUGGUUUCCAAGAAUGAUGACGAUUUCAGUGUGAACAGAGAGUAGCAACGGCAAGAGAUACAGCUAAGUAAACGUGGAUGGUGAAGGGCCCAUUCUGCCUUGUUAAAAGGUUUGAACCCACCCUAUAGACAAUGAAUCACUCAGUGAAUCACUGAGCAAUUUUAAUUAUGGAAGCAACGUGAUCAGAUUUAUAUUUAAGGCAAGAGGAUUGGUGGCAAUGUAGAAGGCAAACACAAGUCAGAAAGAGUUAGAAGUAAGAAAAGUGAGUAGUCUGAAGAAAUUGGACACAUAAGAGAUGAGGGGGCUGGAAUGACUAACUAUGCAUCUUAUUCUGAAAUAUGUCUCUUAGGUAAUUGAUUAUUGAUACCCCACAUCCAAAUAGUGGGACAGUUAACUGAGAUGUCAGAGCCAGCCUUUUCAACACUUCUAGAGAGAAAUUUUGCAAAUACACAUCUCUUAUACCUCCAUGGACUUUUAAUACAGAUAUGUUUAUCAUAAGAUAACCUUCUAAAGAGCUCAUGAUAGCAUAUGAUCAAACUCCUUAUUGUACAGUCAGGAGGAAUCAGCCUUGUUGAAGGAAGGGGCUUACCCAAAGUUACAAGUUGGGACAAAAUUUUUGCUUCCAAUUCACUGCUGUUCUUACUAGAACUGUUUUCUCCAGUCUCAUAGAAGUUCUGAGAAACAAUUAGGCCCACACUAUCAUCAACAGGCAAAUAUGUGUGCCUGACCAGACAGACAGAGAGGUAUUUUGAGAGAGGCCAGGAAUGAAGCUGGUGAAGAGGCCCAGAGUUUCAAUCCUAUUCUCACUCAAGAUUCAUCAUCAUCAUCAUCUUUACUAUAAGGAAGAGGGCAUUUAAAAGCACAAAUGAGAUUGUUAGUGAUAAAAAGGUACUUAUACACCAGCCAAUUCCAUCCUCCAUUUUGCUGAGGCUCAAAGAGGUACAGUGACUUAUCCUCGGUUAUGUAUGCAACUAUUGCAGAGCUGGAUAUUGGACUUAGGCCUCCUGAAGCCCAGCACUGUGCCUGCAAGAGCAUUCCCAACUCCUGUCUUUCUGCUCAAUACAUGGGGAAGAGACGAACAAUUUAGGCUACUCAAAAUGUGGUGGGCAUUUGGGAUCUGGGGAGAGCUUCAGCAUCUCUUCUCUCUUUUCAUGUUCUCCAACUCCUCAAGCAACAUACACACAUACCAUAAAGAUCACUAGCCAGCUAUUUUCUGUCUUGAAAAAUUUUUAUGAUAAGAGUUUUCUAAUUAGGGAAAGCCAUAGUUCAUACACAAAACACAAAUUACUAGGCUCUUUGUCUUUUUCAGAAGAUGUAUUAAUCCAUAAAUAAAUAUACUCUGUUGCCAAGUCACUACCAUGCUGUAUCACAUGGCCAAAGGAUGCCAAAAGGUAUGAGCUCUUGGUGAAUCCCAGCUAUUGACAGCCAGGUGCUGGACCUUAACCAGAGGCAUUGCUAUAGGUGGUUAAGUAUAUGGGCUCUGGUCAGUGGUGACAAAGUUCCUGGGUUCAAAUCCCAACACCUCCAGUUACUAGUUAUGUGACCUUGGACAAGUUGAUUAAAAUCUCUGUACUUCAACUCCUUUAUUUGUAAUAUGGAAAUGAUUUUUUAAAUUACCUAUCUUCUGGGUCUAUUGCAGAAUUAAAUAAGAUAAUCCACUUAAGGCACUAUAUGUGAGUUUUUGCAUGUAGUGAGCACUUGAACCAAUAGAGUAUAUUUCCUUUUGAAUGUAAGAAAUUCACAGAGACAGCUUCUCUAUAAUAAAGUGUCAUUGCAGAUGGAAUCAAGAUGAGGUCACAUGGACGUGACCUUUUUUCAACAUGACUGGUGUCCUCAAAGGAGGGGAAAAUUUUGAUACAGAGAGACACACACAGAGGGGAAAUGAUGAGGAUACACCUAGGAAGAGGACAGCCAUGAGAAGACAGAGGCAGCAAUUGGAGUUAUGCUGCCACAAGCCAAGGAUUACCUGGAGCUACCAGGGGCUAAAAGAUGCAAGGAAGGGUCUCACCUAAACGCCACAGAGAGAGCACAGCCUGGCUGACACCUUCA
Gorilla gorilla gorilla (western lowland gorilla) is the source of this 4142-nucleotide long non-coding RNA. RefSeq lists it as uncharacterized. NCBI's taxonomy places the organism in Eukaryota, Metazoa, Chordata, Mammalia, Primates, Hominidae. The transcript is spliced from 4 exons. The record is from RefSeq and is a predicted model, not a curated record.